UAAGGAAUAUUGGACAAUGGGCGGAAGCCUGAUCCAGCCAUCCCGCGUGCAGGAUGAAGGCCCUCUGGGUUGUAAACUGCUUUUAUUGGGGAAGAAACCUGCGUAUUUAUAUGCAGCUGACGGUACCCAAGGAAUAAGCACCGGCUAACUCCGUGCCAGCAGCCGCGGUAAUACGGAGGGUGCAAGCGUUAUCCGGAAUCACUGGGUUUAAAGGGUGCGUAGGCGGCCUGUCAAGUCAGGGGUGAAAUGU
This 250-nucleotide ribosomal RNA is filed under the name uncultured bacterium. RNAcentral's name for it is "partial 16S ribosomal RNA". It matches the Rfam family "Bacterial small subunit ribosomal RNA", at positions 355 to 602 of the family's 1533-position model. The record is from RNAcentral.